GCUCAUUAAAUCAGUUAUCGUCUAUUUGAUAGUACCUUACUACUUGGAUAACCGUGGUAAUUCUAGAGCUAAUACAUGCUGAAAACCCCGACUUCGGAAGGGAUGUAUUUAUUAGAUUAAAAACCAAUGCCCUUCGGGGCUCCCUGGUGAUUCAUGAUAACUUCUCGAAUCGCACGGCCUUGCGCCGGCGAUGGUUCAUUCAAAUUUCUGCCCUAUCAACUUUCGACGGCUGGGUCUUGGCCAGCCAUGGUGACAACGGGUAACGGAGGGUUAGGGCUCGACCCCGGAGAAGGAGCCUGAGAAACGGCUACUACAUCCAAGGAAGGCAGCAGGCGCGCAAAUUACCCAAUCCCGACACGGGGAGGUAGUGACAAUAAAUACUGAUACAGGGCUCUUUUGGGUCUUGUAAUUGGAAUGAGUACAAUUUAAUUCCCUUAACGAGGAACAAUUGGAGGGCAAGUCUGGUGCCAGCAGCCGCGGUAAUUCCAGCUCCAAUAGCGUAUAUUAAAGUUGUUGCAGUUAAAAAGCUCGUAGUUGAACCUUGGGCCUGGCUGGCCGGUCCGCCUCACCGCGUGCACUGGUCCGGCCGGGCCUUUCCCUCUGGGGAGCCGCAUGCCCUUCACUGGGCGUGUCGGGGAACCAGGACGUUUACUUUGAAAAAAUUAGAGUGUUCAAAGCAGGCUUAUGCUCGGAUACAUUAGCAUGGAAUAAUAGAAUAGGACGUGCGGUUCUAUUUUGUUGGUUUCUAGGACCGCCGUAAUGAUUAAUAGGGACAGUCGGGGGCAUCAGUAUUCAGUUGUCAGAGGUGAAAUUCUUGGAUUUACUGAAGACUAACUACUGCGAAAGCAUUUGCCAAGGAUGUUUUCAUUAAUCAGGAACGAAAGUUAGGGGAUCGAAGACGAUCAGAUACCGUCGUAGUCUUAACCAUAAACUAUGCCGACUAGGGAUCGGACGGUGUUAU
RNAcentral lists this ribosomal RNA (961 nucleotides) under Raffaelea subfusca. RNAcentral's name for it is "SSU rRNA". It matches the Rfam family "Eukaryotic small subunit ribosomal RNA", at positions 96 to 1066 of the family's 1831-position model. Lineage: Eukaryota; Fungi; Ascomycota; Sordariomycetes; Ophiostomatales; Ophiostomataceae. The record is from RNAcentral.